CCUACGGGUGGCUGCAGUGAGGAAUCUUGCACAAUGGGCGAAAGCCUGAUGCAGCGACGCCGCGUGGAGGAUGAAGGUCUUCGGAUUGUAAACUUCUGUUAAGAGGGGUGAAAUAAGCGGCUUUAAUAGAGUCGCGAGAUGACAGUACCUCUAGAGAAAGCACCGGCUAACUACGUGCCAGCAGCCGCGGUAAUACGUAGGGUGCGAGCGUUAUUCGGAGUAAUUGGGCGUAAAGGGUGCGUAGGCGGCGAAUUAAGUCAGUUGUUCAAUCUUCCAGCCUAACUGGAAGCCCACAACAGAU
This 301-nucleotide ribosomal RNA is filed under the name uncultured Pseudomonadota bacterium. Its description in RNAcentral is "bacterial SSU rRNA". It matches the Rfam family "Bacterial small subunit ribosomal RNA", at positions 338 to 631 of the family's 1533-position model. The record is from RNAcentral. Lineage: Bacteria; Pseudomonadati; Pseudomonadota.